RNAcentral lists this ribosomal RNA (347 nucleotides) under bacterium enrichment culture clone ALO1_GLFRUDD03F1HCJ. Its description in RNAcentral is "bacterial SSU rRNA". It matches the Rfam family "Bacterial small subunit ribosomal RNA", at positions 9 to 355 of the family's 1533-position model. The record is from RNAcentral.
GAGUUUGAUCCUGGCUCAGAUUGAACGCUGGCGGCAUGCCUUACACAUGCAAGUCGAACGGCAGCACGGGAGCUUGCUCCUGGUGGGCGAGUGGCGAACGGGUGAGUAAUGCAUCGGAACGUAGUCCUGGAGUGGGGGAUAACGUAGCGAAAGUUACGCUAAUACCGCAUAUUCUGUGAGCAGGAAAGCGGGGGACCUUCGGGCCUCGCGCUCUUGGAGCGGCCGAUGUCGGAUUAGCUAGUUGGUGAGGUAAAGGCUCACCAAGGCGACGAUCCGUAGCAGGUCUGAGAGGAUGAUCUGCCACACUGGAACUGAGACACGGUCCAGACUCCUACGGAGGCAGCAGU